AGAGACCACCACAGCCUGUGAGAGUCUCCAGUGGACAACGGUUGUCUGAUUGAGACUCUUCCUGGUGUGCUCAGAAAAACCUGUACUUUUUUUGUUUCAAUUAGUUUUAUAGACAUUUCAAGCUGGGGCCUGCAUUUUUUUGUGCAACCCUGGGGUUCAACAAUUUGAAACUGCUUCACACCAAGAGCAGAGAAACUCGCUCUGUGGUUAUCACCUCAGAGAGACACAAUACCCAAAACCUGAGAACAUUCGCCUUGUUUUGUUGGAGUCAACACAUCUGCCAGAUGUUCUGCACAUAUUUGUCAAUUUCUGUGGUCUGACUCAGAGCACAGGAAGUGUGGGUUCAGCAGAGGACACAUCUGGAACCCCUUUCCUGCUGGAGUGGACAGUGGAGGCAGCGCCACAGUGGAUUUUCAUUGGUGUCUCCCCUGGCUGCCUGGUGGCUGCCUGUCAGAGCCAGCGCUUGAGAACGUGGCUGCUAGUGAAAGUGUUUAUGUGUUUAUGUGACCACAGGUAGCAAACAGAUAAGAAACUAUCCGACUGAGGAGCAGCAAGGGUCUGGAGCUACUGCGAUUGGGUGACCUGGGUAGAGACCCUCCUGGAGAUUUCACUCUGACUAGAACUGGAAGGACAAACCCACCGCAGGUAUAGACUCUUGCAUACAAACUGUGUCUUUUUCCUGAGUCCCAUCUUACAACAAAAGACAUACCCAUCAAAUCAGAUUUGCAAUCGAGUUGUUUGUGUCAAAAGAGAAAUGUUGUAAUUAACCUUGAGACUUUUUUCAAGCAGCAGGUUUGCCUUAUAAAUGAAAAAUAAUGAAUAAGCCAAACUGUACCCAGGGGUAUGACAGAGUUUUAACUGGCUUCAUGUAUAGCCAGUGUGGCUGGGAGAAAUGUGAUCUCCAUUUCAUUUCAGAUCUUUCUCUGAACCUUCCAUAUGCAUGCAUGAUGGAAUGGGUUCCCAAAUCCAGCUUGAAAUGUAGUGCAUGACAUACUACCCACGCAAAUAAAAUGAAUAGUUCAAAAUUAUGGGGCACUGACAGAAAAAGCAGACCUUUUAAUAUCUAGUUUCAUUGAGUAAUGCAUUUAAAAUAAUUUGCAAACUGGAAAGGUAAUUAAAAGGGUCCUUUUACUCCCCUAUGCCACAUGUCACAGUCUUUAAUGUUUAAUGAGAGUUGCUCUUUGAGUCUAGGAUUUAGUGAAAGACAUUUGGCUUGGACAAGAACUAAGACAAAUGCUGCUAACAUGAUUCUAUUCAAUUUAGUGCUUUAAAUACUUUCAGGAAUGGUGGAUUAUUUUCAAAGUAAGGUUUGUGGAAGCUGGGAAUUUUGAAGUAUUUUACCUGGAAAUUAUCUAUCGGAAUGCUUCUGUAUGCUUUAAAAAAUGUAUACUCUACAUAUGGACACAAAGAAAGGAACAAGAGACACUGGAGCCUACUUGAGGGUAGAGGGUGAGGAUUGAAAAACUACCUAUUGGGUACUCUGCUUAUUACCUGGAUGAUGAAAUAAUCUGUGCACUGAAGCCCCGCAACACACAUUGACCUAUAUAAUAAAUCUGCACAUGUGUCCCUGAACCUAAAAU
Molecule: long non-coding RNA, 1580 nt
Filed under: Homo sapiens (human)
Lineage: Eukaryota; Metazoa; Chordata; Mammalia; Primates; Hominidae
Description: non-protein coding lnc-GAS1-4:4
Source: RNAcentral